GAUGAACGCUAGCUACAGGCUUAACACAUGCAAGUCGAGGGGCAGCAUGUCGAUAGCUUGCUAUUGUUGAUGGCGACCGGCGCACGGGUGAGUAACGCGUAUCCAACCUGCCCUUGUCCAUCAGAUAACCCGUCGAAAGGCGGACUAACACGAUAUGCAGUUCUCUGCAGGAACCUAACGAGAACGCAAUGUAAAGGAGAAGGAUGGGGAUGCGUCUGAUGAGCUUGUUGGCGGGGUAACGGCCCACCAAGGCGACGAGCAGUAGGGGUUCUGAGAGGAAGGUCCCCCACAUUGGAACUGAGACACGGUCCAAACUCCUACGGGAGGCAGCAGUGAGGAAUAUUGGUCAAUGGGCGAGAGCCUGAACCAGCCAAGUAGCGUGCAGGAUGACGGCCCUAUGGGUUGUAAACUGCUUUUAUACGGGGAUAAAGUGAGCCACGUGUGGCUUAUUGCAGGUACCGUAUGAAUAAGGACCGGCUAAUUCCGUGCCAGCCGCCGCGGUAA
Molecule: ribosomal RNA, 504 nt
Filed under: uncultured bacterium
Lineage: Bacteria
Description: partial 16S ribosomal RNA
Rfam family: Bacterial small subunit ribosomal RNA
Source: RNAcentral